UACGUAGGGUGCGAGCGUUUAAUCGGAAUUACUGGGCGUAAAGAGUGCGUAGGCGGUUCGUUAUGUCUGCUGUGAAAGCCCCGGGCUUAACCCGGGAAUGGCAGUGGAAACUGGCGGGCUUGAGUGUGGCAGAGGGGGGUGGAAUUCCGCGUGUAGCAGUGAAAUGCGUAGAGAUGCGGAGGAACACCGAUGGCGAAGGCAGCCCCCUGGGCUAACACUGACGCUGAGGAGCGAAAGCGUGGGGAGCGAACAGG
RNAcentral lists this ribosomal RNA (254 nucleotides) under uncultured bacterium. RNAcentral's name for it is "partial 16S ribosomal RNA". It matches the Rfam family "Bacterial small subunit ribosomal RNA", at positions 524 to 776 of the family's 1533-position model. The record is from RNAcentral.